GACGAACGCUGGCGGCGUGCUUAACACAUGCAAGUCGAACGCUGAACCCGCUUCGGUGGGGGAUGAGUGGCGAACGGGUGAGUAACACGUGGGCAACCUGCCCCCGGCUCUGGGAUAACUCCAAGAAAUUGGGGCUAAUACCGGAUGUGACCACUGGCCGCAUGGUCUGGUGGUGGAAAGGGUUUCCGGCUGGGGAUGGGCCCGCGGCCUAUCAGCUUGUUGGUGGGGUAGUGGCCUACCAAGGCGACGACGGGUAGCCGGCCUGAGAGGGUGACCGGCCACACUGGGACUGAGACACGGCCCAGACUCCUACGGGAGGCAGCAGUGGGGAAUAUUGCGCAAUGGGCGGAAGCCUGACGCAGCGACGCCGCGUGGGGGAUGACGGCCUUCGGGUUGUAAACCUCUUUCAGCAGGGACGAAGCGCAAGUGACGGUACCUGCAGAAGAAGCACCGGCCAACUACGUC
Molecule: ribosomal RNA, 465 nt
Filed under: uncultured bacterium
Lineage: Bacteria
Description: partial 16S ribosomal RNA
Rfam family: Bacterial small subunit ribosomal RNA
Source: RNAcentral